UGAGGCUUAACCUAGAUAGCCUUUAUGAUGUUGAGAUAUGUUCCUGUUAUCCCUAGUUUUUCUAGUGUUUUAACAUGAAAGGGUGCUGUAUUUUGUUAAAUGCUUUUUCUGCAUCUAUUGAGAUGAUGAUAUGAUUCUUAGAGUCUAUUGAUCUGUUGAAUUACAUUUAUUGAUUUCAGUAUGUUGAACCAACAUUGCUUCCCUGGGAUGAACCCCACUUGACCAUGGUGCAUGAUCUUUUUGAUAUGUUUUUGUUUUUGAUAUGUUUUUCUAUUAGAUUUGCCAGAAUUUUAUUGAGAAUUUUUGCAUCUACAUUCAUUAGAGAUAUUGGUCUGAAAUUUUCUUUCUUUGAUGUGUCUUUGCCUGGUUUUGGAAUCACGGUGAUAUUGGCCUCAUUGAAUGAGUUUGGAAGUGCUGCCUCUUUUUCUAUUUUCUGAAAUAAAUUGAAGAGUAUUGGUAUUAGUUCUUCUUUAAACUUCUUGUAGAACUCUGCUGUGUAUCUAUCCUGUCCUGGGCUUUUCUUGGUUGGUAGACUUCUGAUGGCAUCUUCUAUUUCAUCACUUGAUAUUGGUCUGUUUAAGUUGUGUAUAUCUUCCUGAUUCAAUCCAAGCAAAUCAUAUGAAUUAAGAAAUUUGUCAAUGCCUUCAAUAUCUUCUAUUUUGUUGGAGUAUAAGUUUUCAAAAUAAUUUCUAAUUAUCCUUUGUAUUUCUAUAGUGUCUGUUGUGAUAGUACCUUUUUCAUCACAUAUGCUGGUAAUUUGAGUUUUCUCUACCCUUCUCUUUGUUAGGGUAGCUAGGGGUCUGUCUGUUUUAUUUAUUUAUUGAAAGAACCAAGUUUUUGUUUUGUCAAUUUUUUCAAUUGUUUUAUUUUACUUCAAUUUCAUUGAUUUCAGCUCUAAUUUUAAUUAUUUC
This 911-nucleotide long non-coding RNA is filed under the name Marmota monax (woodchuck). The record is from RNAcentral. Lineage: Eukaryota; Metazoa; Chordata; Mammalia; Rodentia; Sciuridae.